AUUGCUUCUCGGCCUUUUGGCUAAGAUCAAGUGUAGAAACCAUUUCCCUUUCACCACAUUUUUUUAAAAAGCUAUU
RNAcentral lists this small nuclear RNA (76 nucleotides) under Rhinolophus ferrumequinum (greater horseshoe bat). RNAcentral's name for it is "U2 spliceosomal RNA (ENSRFEG00010011996.1)". It matches the Rfam family "U2 spliceosomal RNA", at positions 1 to 118 of the family's 192-position model. Rfam says of the family: U2 is a small nuclear RNA (snRNA) component of the spliceosome (involved in pre-mRNA splicing). Complementary binding between U2 snRNA (in an area lying towards the 5' end but 3' to hairpin I) and the branchpoint sequence (BPS) of the intron results the bulging out of an unpaired adenosine, on the BPS, which initiates a nucleophilic attack at the intronic 5' splice site, thus starting the first of two transesterification reactions that mediate splicing. The record is from RNAcentral. Lineage: Eukaryota; Metazoa; Chordata; Mammalia; Chiroptera; Rhinolophidae.